This is a long non-coding RNA of Octodon degus (degu), 2677 nucleotides long. RefSeq lists it as uncharacterized. The transcript has 3 exons. The record is from RefSeq and is a predicted model, not a curated record. Lineage: Eukaryota; Metazoa; Chordata; Mammalia; Rodentia; Octodontidae.
AUUCUACUGCGCUAUCUUCCCCCGCCCCUAUCUUUUUUAAAUUUUGAAAUAGAAUCUGGCUAAGUAGUUGAAGUGCCCAGGCUGGGUCCAAACUUUCAGCCCUCCUGCCUCAGCCUCUCAGGGUGCUGGCAUCAUAGAAGCGCACCACCAGGAGUAGCUAAGCAUGUUCUUAAAGUGCGGUUCUUUUCACGUCACUGAAACAACAUGCAGGGUGUCCUCACCACCUCCGGUAGUCCAAGCCAUCCCACCCCGUUAGGCCUAGUUCAUGUUUCCCUUCGUCUUGUGCCCCACGACCCCUCCAUGACUCCGCACCCUACACACUGGCUAAGCUUGAAUUUCCCACACACGCCUGCUUCCCUGACUUUGCGCCUCUCACGGUUGCCAGGCCCAGACAAACAGGUUCCAACCCGUGUCGAGGCCACGCUAAGGAAGCCCUGGCCCGCCUGCGCGCUGGCCCUCCUUAGCAGGACAGACCCCAUCCAUGCUUCCCGCCUCACCUGCCCCUGUCUGGGGCUCUAACCUGCCCCAUGAUCUCUGCAGGUAGCUCAGAUCUCAGAAAAUACCCUGUGCCUGACACCCCCCGCAUGUGCGCUAGGGUUCUCCUCCGUUCCCUCCAGACAAGAGGUUUGUCUUCAUCCUCUGAUCCGACCGGAGCUCAGCACUUUCUCUGGCUAAUGAGAUGUCUGUCUUGUUCAACGGCCAGACCCCCCAGGGCCAACAGGGCUUAGGUUGGACCAGAGCGGUCUGGGGCACACGUGGGGUGGGGAUCCGUCCACGGUGGCGUCACUGCCGACUGAGAAACAGAGGCCCCGGCGUGGGACACUCUUACAACCAUUUCUUAGCUACCACUCAGUCAGUGACCACUCAGUUAGUGGCCACUCAGCACGGUGGUGUCUGGUGUCACCCAGGCUCUGCAGUCCUCCGAGCCCCGGCUGCCGGCACCUACCCCAGAACACAGACACAGCUCCGCUAGCCACCACAGCCUGGCCAUUCCAGGAUGGGAAAGGCUCGUAAGGAACUUCCUGCCUCGAGCCUCCAGAGAACUUAGCUUUUGUAAGCUUCCUUCAUGGCCAAGGCCCCCAAGGAAACACUGUCUGAAACCAACCAGAAGGCGUUCUGUAGUUCCCAAGAAGCUAAAUAAAAUGUUCACAGGAGUCACCGUUCCCGUGCCCGAGAGGAACUCCGGGAGCGUGAAAUGCUCCAGAGCCAGAAUCAACAGUGUGACUGUCCUUACUCAUCUGCAUAAACUCCACCUCGGCUUCAUGCAGCCCACGUGUCCACACCAAACUCUCAUCUGAGAUGACCUUGUGUCCUGUUCCCACCGGGGACCUGGCCUGUCCCCUCCUUGCUACGAAGUUCAUGGGGCCACAAUCCUGGGAAAGAAAUGCCUGCGCCCUCCGUGUCAGUGUUGCCCUUUGGCCCCAUGUCCCAGGCUCAUCUGGACAGCAUGGUGACUGUUUUUCUUACUAGAAUUUUUGGACUUCCUUCUAUCUUCCCUUUUGAGACAGGUCAAUGAGAAGACACAUGUGAAAUGGCUUUUAUCAUUUCUGUUUAGAUAAGGUUUAGCUGCGUUGCCCAGGCCACCCCUAAGGAAAUUCCUGGGCUCAAGUGACCCUCCUGUGCUAGCCUCCCAUGCGGCUGGGACUUUAGGCACACGCUGCUGCACUCUCCUCUGAAAUGGUUUCAAAAAGACAAGAAAAAAUUUGAAUGGAACAAUUACUGCUUAUUAAAUGGUACAAAGACGUGCUUAAGCGCCCACAAAGGGUACCAUAUCAUGUGGGACACAGGGCCACCAGGACAGGGACCUGCUCUAGGGAGCUCCUGGUCUGUCACGAGAGGCCAUGAACCAGAUGUCAGCCACGCCUUCGGGUUCCAGGCUGACAAACAUGUCACUUUGACCUGGUGAGUGGCUUCAGGGGGUUGACAAGACCUCACAGGACACAGAGAGAGGAGAGGAAAAUGGGGGUGCACAGUCAUGAGGACAGCAGGGCCACUGGCCACAGCCGUGUGGUCUGGGCAUCGGGCACAGGGGCAUCAGAAUGGCAGUGUGGGUGGAAGGGGCUGAACCCACUUGUAGGCCCCCACAUACCCUGCAGAAUGAUGGAGCUCUGAGGGCUUCUGAGGGGCUGAGGGAAGGAGACAGGAGAGGGAGGGGGAGAGAGAGAGGUCUGUGACACCGAACCUGUGCUCUGGAGGGUGCCACGGACACCCAGCUGAGGGUGUGCCAGCAGGACAUCCGUGGGGGCAUCUGCAACAGGAGCUGAGUGACAGGCCCUUUGACCACACUGCAACCACUCAAGGACUGAAAUUUCUAGAACCGGAGCUGCAAAAAACUCUCCUUGCAGCAACAGGGACAGUGACUAAGACCAGCGGGAUAUGGCUGGCUUGUUGAGCUGGAGGCAGAGCCAGCAAUUGGUCCCCCGCUCACCUUGGGACUGAACUCAGAUCCUGCACAGCUUUGAAGUGUUGCUGCCCCUCAGAGCCAAGAAGACAAAGAGAAAGCUCCAAGCCCAAUGAAGAGAGGCAGGCAGAGCUGGGAUGGGGGCCGCGCCCACUGCUAAGAAAUUCAGCAUGCUUGAAGUUUACGCCACCAGCCCACGACCCACACACAGCACUCAGUGGGCUUUGGUGCGUUGGGGUGGCUGGACCCUCACUACAAAUGUGUUCUUUUGUGCUU